CCUGCAGCAGGGUUUCCAGUUUCCAAAGCUGAUGUGAUCUCACAGCUUGAAUGAGGGGAAGAGCCGUAGGUCCCAGACCUCCAGGGCUCUGAGAAAGAAGUGCUUCCAAGAGCUGCCUUCCCAGGUGGUGAUCUAUGUCUGGAUUCUCUCUAUCUCCCUUCAGGUGAUGGGAUGGUGAGUCAGAAUGAGGAGGAGAAAUCCCAUCAGAAAGAUGCUGAGCAAGGAGAACCACAUGGAAAUUUAUCAGGAAGAUCCAAAGGGAAUGUUUCCGGGAGUUGUACACUCUCAGAAAAUACAAAAGCCUGUGAGACUCAGCAGAGGCCGGAGAGAAAGUUUAGUAUCCUCUCAGACCUUGUAACAAGCGACAGAAUCAACUUGGAAGAGACACGCUACACAUGCCAAAAGUGUGGGAAAAGCUUUAGUCAGAGCUCUGCCCUUUUCAGACAUCAGAGAAUCCACACAGGAGAAGCGCCCCACACAUGCUCAGAGUGCAGGAAAAUCUUUAGUCGGAGCUUUACCCUGAACACACGUUAUAGAUCCACACAGGAGAGAAGCCCUGCACAGGCGCCGCGUGUGGGGAAAGCUGCAAUUGGUGCUCAAACCUUAUCACACAUCAGAGAAUCCACACAGGAGAGAAGCCCUGCACAGGCGCUGAGUGCGGGGAAAGCUGCAAUUGGCCCUCACACCUUAUCAGACAUAGGAAAAUCCACAUGGGUGACAAACCCUGUGGAUGCUCUAAGUGUGAGAAAUGUUACUUCAAUCAUUCAGGCCUCAUCUUACGUCAUAGAAUCAACACAGGAGAAAGGCCCCACACAUGCUCUGGGUGCAGGAAAAGCUUCAAUCAGCACUCAAGCUUCAUGAGACAUCAGAAAAUCCACAUGAGAUAGAAUUGUAAUAAAUCCUGUGACUAGGCUUGGCCAAAAUAUCUUUAAAAAAAAUCGCAUUUGCUAAUUCCCACAUAGUGAUUUUUGUACCAUCUUCACCGUGGUCUCUCAGCUCCACUUAGAUAAGUUGCCUUCUUCUGCCUUUUGCAGCUCAUCCUUCUUUGGACUCAGUCUUAUGAUCUUUUCUAUCAAUUCCUUUCUUUUUGAGUCAUAGGAGUGUGUGUCCCUCCUGCCAGGAAUGUUCAUCAGCUCCAGGUGGGGGAGAGAGGUUUGAUCCCAACAAGGGACACUUGUUGCAGGCACAGAGGGUACCUGAGGCAAGCAACAGUGGUCCGUGCCUGGAGUGCUUAGCGCCA
Molecule: long non-coding RNA, 1240 nt
Organism: Gopherus evgoodei (Goodes thornscrub tortoise)
Lineage: Eukaryota; Metazoa; Chordata; Testudines; Testudinidae
Exons: 3
Source: RefSeq, a predicted model, not a curated record